UACGUAGGGGGCUAGCGUUGUCCGGAAUCAUUGGGCGUAAAGCGCGUGUAGGCGGUUCGGUAAGUCCGCUGUGAAAGUCGGGGGCUCAACCCUCGAAUGCCGGUGGAUACUGUCGAACUAGAGUGCGGAAGGGGCGAGUGGAAUUCCUGGUGUAGCGGUGAAAUGCGCAGAUAUCAGGAGGAACACCAAUUGCGAAGGCAGCUCGCUGGGACGUUACUGACGCUGAGACGCGAAAGCGUGGGGAGCAAACAGG
RNAcentral lists this ribosomal RNA (253 nucleotides) under uncultured bacterium. Its description in RNAcentral is "partial 16S ribosomal RNA". It matches the Rfam family "Bacterial small subunit ribosomal RNA", at positions 524 to 776 of the family's 1533-position model. The record is from RNAcentral.